AUGCCUCGACUAGAUAUUUCCACAUGAUCUAUUGUUAUCUUGUCAAUAAUCAUAACUUUAUUCUACAUUAUUCAGUUAAAACUACCAAAUUUCAUUUAUUACACACCCCCUACACAAAAAAUAAUCAAAAUACAAGAACAUUUAACCUCUUGAGAAUUAAAAUGAAUGAAAAUUUAUUCACCUCUUUUAUUACCCCAACAUUUCUAG
RNAcentral lists this long non-coding RNA (207 nucleotides) under Homo sapiens (human). Its description in RNAcentral is "non-protein coding lnc-DCUN1D5-3:1". The record is from RNAcentral. Lineage: Eukaryota; Metazoa; Chordata; Mammalia; Primates; Hominidae.